GAUGAACGCUGGCGGCGUGCCUAAUACAUGCAAGUCGAGCGAACAGACGAGGAGCUUGCUCCUCUGACGUUAGCGGCGGACGGGUGAGUAACACGUGGAUAACCUACCUAUAAGACUGGGAUAACUUCGGGAAACCGGAGCUAAUACCGGAUAAUAUAUUGAACCGCAUGGUUCAAUAGUGAAAGACGGUUUUGCUGUCACUUAUAGAUGGAUCCGCGCCGCAUUAGCUAGUUGGUAAGGUAACGGCUUACCAAGGCAACGAUGCGUAGCCGACCUGAGAGGGUGAUCGGCCACACUGGGACUGAGACACGGCCCAGACUCCUACGGGAGGCAGCAGUAGGGAAUCUUCGGCAAUGGACGAAAGUCUGACCGAGCAACGCCGCGUGAGUGAAGAAGGUUUUCGGAUCGUAAAGCUCUGUUGUAAGAGAAGAACGGGUGUGAGAGUGGAAAGUUCACACUGUGACGGUAUCUUACCAGAAAGGGACGGCUAACUACGUGCCAGCAGCCGCGGUAAUACGUAGGUCCCGAGCGUUGUCCGGAUUUAUUGGGCGUAAAGCGAGCGCAGGCGGUUAGAUAAGUCUGAAGUUAAAGGCUGUGGCUUAACCAUAGUACGCUUUGGAAACUGUUUAACUUGAGUGCAGAAGGGGAGAGUGGAAUUCCAUGUGUAGCGGUGAAAUGCGUAGAUAUAUGGAGGAACACCGGUGGCGAAAGCGGCUCUCUGGUCUGUAACUGACGCUGAGGCUCGAAAGCGUGGGGAGCGAACAGGAUUAGAUACCCUGGUAGUCCACGCCGUAAACGAUGAGUGCUAGGUGUUAGGCCCUUUCCGGGGCUUAGUGCCGCAGCUAACGCAUUAAGCACUCCGCCUGGGGAGUACGACCGCAAGGUUGAAACUCAAAGGAAUUGACGGGGGCCCGCACAAGCGGUGGAGCAUGUGGUUUAAUUCGAAGCAACGCGAAGAACCUUACCAGGUCUUGACAUCCCGAUGCCCGCUCUAGAGAUAGAGUUUUAUUUCGGUACAUCGGUGACAGGUGGUGCAUGGUUGUCGUCAGCUCGUGUCGUGAGAUGUUGGGUUAAGUCCCGCAACGAGCGCAACCCUUAUUGUUAGUUGCCAUCAUUCAGUUGGGCACUCUAGCGAGACUGCCGGUAAUAAACCGGAGGAAGGUGGGGAUGACGUCAAAUCAUCAUGCCCCUUAUGACCUGGGCUACACACGUGCUACAAUGGCUGGUACAACGAGUCGCAAGUCGGUGACGGCAAGCUAAUCUCUUAAAGCCAGUCUCAGUUCGGAUUGUAGGCUGCAACUCGCCUACAUGAAGUCGGAAUCGCUAGUAAUCGCGGAUCAGCACGCCGCGGUGAAUACGUUCCCGGGCCU
RNAcentral lists this ribosomal RNA (1370 nucleotides) under uncultured bacterium. RNAcentral's name for it is "bacterial SSU rRNA". It matches the Rfam family "Bacterial small subunit ribosomal RNA", at positions 28 to 1381 of the family's 1533-position model. The record is from RNAcentral.